UGCCAAGGCUGCAAAAGCUUCAAACACUUCUACACCUACCAAGGGGAACACGGAAACUAGUGCCAGUGCAUCACAAACAAACCAUGUGAAGGAUGUGAAGAAAAUUAAAAUUGAACAUGCACCUUCUCCCUCAAGUGGUGGAACUUUAAAAAAUGACAAAGCAAAAACAAAGCCACCUCUUCAGGUAACGAAGGUGGAAAAUAAUUUGAUUGUAGAUAAAGCCACCAAGAAAGCAGUCAUAGUUGGAAAGGAGAGUAAAUCUGCUGCUACAAAGGAGGAAUCAGUAUCUCUUAAAGAGAAAACCAAACCACUUACACCAAGCAUAGGAGCCAAGGAGAAGGAGCAACAUGUAGCUUUAGUCACCUCUACAUUACCACCGUUACCUUUGCCUCCCAUGCUGCCUGAAGAUAAAGAAGCUGAUAGCUUACGAGGAAAUAUUUCAGUAAAAGCAGUUAAAAAAGAAGUAGAAAAGAAACUCCGAUGUCUUCUUGCUGAUUUACCGCUGCCCCCUGAGCUACCAGGAGGAGAUGAUCUUUCAAAGAGUCCAGAGGAAAAGAAAACAGCAACACAGUUACAUAGUAAAAGGAGGCCUAAAAUAUGUGGGCCUCGCUAUGGUGAAAUCAAAGAAAAAGAUAUUGACUGGGGAAAACGCUGCGUGGAUAAAUUUGAUAUCAUCGGAAUUAUUGGAGAAGGUACUUACGGACAAGUUUACAAAGCCAGGGAUAAAGACACUGGAGAAAUGGUAGCCUUAAAAAAAGUACGUCUGGAUAAUGAAAAGGAAGGCUUUCCAAUUACAGCAAUUCGAGAAAUUAAAAUUCUCCGGCAGCUUACCCAUCAGAGUAUUAUCAAUAUGAAGGAAAUAGUGACUGAUAAAGAAGAUGCUUUGGAUUUCAAGAAGGACAAAGGUGCAUUUUAUCUGGUGUUUGAAUAUAUGGACCAUGAUCUGAUGGGACUACUGGAAUCAGGCUUGGUUCAUUUUAAUGAAAAUCACAUAAAGUCAUUUAUGAGACAGCUCAUGGAGGGUCUGGAUUAUUGUCAUAAGAAGAACUUUUUGCAUAGAGAUAUUAAAUGUUCCAAUAUCCUUCUAAAUAAUAGAGGGCAGAUAAAACUUGCAGACUUUGGACUUGCUCGAUUGUAUAGCUCAGAAGAAAGUCGGCCGUAUACUAACAAGGUAAUUACUUUAUGGUACCGUCCACCUGAACUGCUACUGGGAGAAGAACGAUACACACCAGCCAUUGAUGUUUGGAGCUGUGGCUGUAUCCUUGGCGAACUCUUCACUAAAAAACCUAUAUUUCAAGCAAAUCAGGAACUUGCACAACUAGAAUUAAUAAGACAUGAAGAAAAUGAAAGGAAGUUUCUGAUAAAGGAAACAAAUCUGACUAUAAUGAGGCAACGGAGUAUACCGAAAAGUGUGUGGCCUUUAGAAUCUUACAGGGUUGGGUUCUAAUGCCAGCUCAGCUACUUCCUGCGCUUAUGGUUUAGGGUCCCAUAUGCUCUUAAGUUUUUUUCUUCAAAAGUAAAAGAGGACUGAUAACAUGCUUAGGGUUGUGAGAAUUAAAUGUAAAUAAGUUUUCAGUACAUAUUUCUUCCCUCACCUUAUUUACAGUAAUGCUAGAUUGUUUCUCUAUAGGCUCAGGAAUGAUGAGACCUAGUGUCAGUAUUGUACAGAUACAUGUAAAACUGAUCAAGAGUGAUAACACUAAUUUGCUUUAAAUGGCUUUACACCAUAGUGAAUGAGUUAUUUUAUUUAUAAUUUGCUUUGUUCCAGAAAGUAUUUUAGGCAGAUUACAAAUAUUUUAUAAUAGAAGUAGCAUAGAUUAAAAAGUGAUGGAGGGAGGCCGGGCACAGUGGCUCAUACCUGUAAUCCCAGCACUUUGGGAGGCCGAGGCAGGUAGAUCAUCUGAGGUCAGCAGUUUGAGACCAGCCUGGCUAACAUGGUGAAACCCCGUCUCUGCUAAAAUACAAAACAAGCCGGGCACAGUGGCUCAUGCCUGUAAUCCUAGCACUUUGGGAGGCCGAGGCGGACAGGUCAUGAGGUCAUGAGGUCAGGAGAUAGAGACUAUCCUGGCUAACAUGGUGAAACCCCGUCUCUACCAAAACUACAAAAAAAAAAAAAAA
Molecule: small RNA, 2118 nt
Filed under: Pan troglodytes (chimpanzee)
Lineage: Eukaryota; Metazoa; Chordata; Mammalia; Primates; Hominidae
Description: processed transcript
Source: RNAcentral